GAAGAAAAAAAGAAGAAGAUAAU
This 23-nucleotide small RNA is filed under the name Arabidopsis thaliana (thale cress). RNAcentral's name for it is "ATSL249710". The record is from RNAcentral. Lineage: Eukaryota; Viridiplantae; Streptophyta; Magnoliopsida; Brassicales; Brassicaceae.